Long non-coding RNA from Heterocephalus glaber (naked mole-rat), 3202 nucleotides. RefSeq lists it as uncharacterized. The record is from RefSeq and is a predicted model, not a curated record. NCBI's taxonomy places the organism in Eukaryota, Metazoa, Chordata, Mammalia, Rodentia, Bathyergidae.
ACGUACCAAUGAGAGAAUUUAAAACAAAAAAACAAACAAAAAAAAAGACCUGGGUUCAAAGGCAGCUUUGGCAUUUCCUACUUGUGUGACCUUGGUUAAGUUAUUUAACAUUGUGUCAGCGCCUUCAUUGGUAAAAUGGAGGAAACUGGGUCUGUGGCACGUCAGACCUGGAGCCCAGGAGGCCCUCGCUGUCAGCUGUUAGCAUAACUGUCCUUUCUUGUGGGCUCUGUACAGAGCCACCAACCGUGCAUGUGCUCUGGGAACAGCCGCCGCCAGACACGGAUGAAGUCACCUCAGCUCCCAGCCUCAGGGCUCCCUCCAAGCCAUGACCCCUGCAUGCUCAGGCCCGGCACUUUCGAGAGUUACAGAAUUACAGCUAAAGCCACAUCUUCCACCCCAGAUUCACUAAGGGUGGAGUCUUCACUGCCUGUCUCUCAGCUCUGUUCCUGGGCAUGGGUUUGGCUUUUUUUAGGACAGACAUUUAUGGGCACUGUAUGUCUUUAUUCUCCAUGUCACUUCCUCAUGACUCUCCCUUUUAAACACAAGCCCCGAUCGGGCCCCCAGUCAAUCCCUGCUGUGCUAGGACUUUCAAGGCAUGGCUAGCUGUGACUGCUACUUAGUCAGCCUUCUACCCUAAUGCUCAGGGGCUUUGACCUCUGCUCGCAGCCCACCCUUUUCCGCCUGGCUCCUGCUGCCCUCUGUGUCCUCUGCCCAAGGCCCCACUGGGAAUGUUCUCUCCCCAGCCCAUGAAUCUUCCACUCGGUUUUAGGUCCUUGCACAAAUGGCUGAUCCAUCAAAAGGCUGUUUCUUGCCCCAAAUGACACGUAAUUACCGCUUGUUAUAAAAUUUCUGCACAUUUUAUCAGGAGGCAGAAUAGAAAAAGCAAAGGCUUUAAAAUUGGAAAGGCUUGUUUCCAAAUCCUGGUGCAACUCACAGCUUCAUGACUAGGGCAGAUUAUUUAUUCUCUCAAUGUUUGACUCUUUGCCUAUAAAAUGGGACAAUAACACUCAUCUUCCAGGGUUACAGUGAUAAUUAAAUUAUAUGUACACAAAGUUGUCGGGUAGAGUUCCUCAGGCACACAGAGAGACUUAACAGGUUUAUUUUUCCAUGUCCUUCUCAACUGGUAUUUUUCACUUCCCACUUUCUGGGAGAAUGACUUGUGCCUUCUUCAUCUCCCUGGCUGGAUGGCUGGCUCCAGGAGGGCAGGAUUUUUGUGGGAUUUUAAUGAGUGAAUGAAAGGACAGUUACUAUAUUAAUACAAACACAAACCUCUGGAUCCACUAAGUAUGAAAGCUUGAAAGGCUCUCAGAGAGAAAUCACACAGAUGGUGUGUUAGUCAGCUUUCCAUCACUGUGACAAAUACCCCAGAAAAUCACCUGAGAGCAGGAGAGGUUUAUUUUGGCUCACAGUAAGUUUUGGUGCAUGGUCACUGGGCCCUGUCCCCUUGGGCCUGCGGCAGCAAAGGAAGGGGCUGAGGUUCCAGUGUCCCCUCCAAGGACACAGCCCUGUGACCUUCCUCCCAGCAGGCCACCUCCUAAGGGUCCCAUCACCUCCCAACAGGGCCAGAGGCUGGGGACCAAGCGUGGAACACAUGGCAAGCAAGGAGUGGCAGACAGUGACCGGGCUGCACUUCUGUUCUCCCGUAGCGCUUCCCUCAGCAGUGGGAAGUGCUGGCAGGCCCGUGGGACCAGAAGCAUGCCUCGGUGAAGGUUAGCUCCAUGGGACACAGGCCCCUCAGCGAGCCUCCACAGGCAGCACCGGACCUGCAAUCUGACAACGCACCUGCAGGACCUCCCAGGCUCGACACACACACAGAUGAGCUCUCUACAAGACCGGUACACGAUGAUCUACAGUAGGACCGAUGAAAACAGCCCCCAGCUGGGAAUGACCCAAAUGAUGGUCACGACUAGGAAGGGUGGAAAGGAUAAAGGAAGAAUUAUGAACGGGCAGAAACCUACUCAGAGCUCAUCAGUUUCCAGUACAGACCUCUGUAAAUCACUACCUCCAGGGAACACAGACCAUAAACCGAACAAUGACACCCACACCGGCCACACAGGGACACGGACAGGCCUGCUGACUCCAUGUGUUACUCUGGACACAUCCCCUAGGGAAAGCACUUCUGGCUGCAAAAAUGUACAGUCCAAAUACCAUAAGGAUCCUAGGCUGUGUGCAUGAGCCUUAUUCAUAGCCAAGAGGCCCUCUGGAGACUCAGGGGUGACAGGCCUAUCUGGAAGCCAUAGGUUGGCAGCUGAUCUGAAAGGUUGCAAGUGGAAAUAUGCUGCACACCCCUGUGCUCCAAGACGCUGGGAAAGCAUGCAGUGACAUGGCUGCUAAUGUGUGGAGGAACAUCACCUCCACAGCAACAAUUCCUGCAAAGCCCAGAAAAAGAAAGAGCACAGCAAAGAGGAUUUGUUGGUGCGUUGGGAAUACUUCUGAGGCAUAGGAAGCCCUGGUUUGUCCAAGAAAGACGAGCACAGUUCCAUGAACACCUCCCUCCCUUCUGCUUAGAUGCUAGAGUCACUAAACUGCCCCGCUCCUACCCUGUUUUGCAAUGUGAGACAUCCCAAGGAAAGCCAUUCUUCCCAAGGACUCAGCAGCUCCGGAUUCUGACCUCUGGGACCUGCAAGGUUGAAAGCUCCCUCUGUGCGGUCAGACUGCUGUGUUGGCCCAAAGGGCUCUCCAACAUUCCACAGACACUGCGCUGCAGAGGCACCAAACAUGACGUUGCGGGGCAGCCUAACAAGUCUGUUGGAUUCACUUGCUUCAUUGCUGAUUUCAGAAGGUGCUUGGCUACGUCAUAAAGUAACAGAGCCCACUAGCUUUGCUACACAUGACACCUCUGACGAGUGGGCUCUGUGGUUUUCAGGAAUUUAGAAGGAGUCUUGAGUAGCUCAAAAUGGUUGAGGCCAGUGGUCCUUCCCUUGGAUCCACGAGGCUGUCAUCUGGGUGACCUUUUGAUGUCAGAGGGACAAAAACUCCACCCUCAGAUCACGCUAAUGACCCAAACAUGUCUCCCGUGGACAGCCACGAAGGUGGGCUACACAGGUGCAGACUGCAUUGCUGCACUUCCCCUUACUGCCAGUCUCCUUCCUCAUAUCUCAGAGCCAUACACACCUGAGCCCUCUCCUCAGGAAGGUGGCUUUGCGGCGGGGGCUCCCACCUUGUUUGGCUUCUGUGAGAAUAAACUUUCUCUUUUGUAAAA